AUACUUACCUGGCAGGGGAGACACCACGAUCACGAAGGUGGUUUUCCCAAGGUGAGGCUCAGCUAUUGCACUGCGGCUGUGCCGACCCCUGCGAUUUCCCCAAAUGCGGGAAACUCGACUGCAUAAUUUGUGGCAGGUGGCGGGGGGGACCACGUUCAUGCUCUGC
Molecule: small nuclear RNA, 166 nt
Organism: Tachyglossus aculeatus (Australian echidna)
Lineage: Eukaryota; Metazoa; Chordata; Mammalia; Monotremata; Tachyglossidae
Product: U1 spliceosomal RNA
Exons: 1
Source: RefSeq, a predicted model, not a curated record